RNAcentral lists this long non-coding RNA (381 nucleotides) under Pogona vitticeps (central bearded dragon). RNAcentral's name for it is "lncRNA (ENSPVIG00000013771.1)". The record is from RNAcentral. Lineage: Eukaryota; Metazoa; Chordata; Lepidosauria; Squamata; Agamidae.
AUGCCAUUAUUUCACCCGUCAGGAACUGCUGUUGCCACCUAGAACGUGGCAGCAGAUAUUGCAUGUACACCAGUGCAGAACUGUGAUUGAUGCAGACUUGACCAAUGUUCUACUCUACUGCUACGCUCUUCAGGACCUUUGUGACGUUACUGCCCUGAGAAGGACUGAGAAAGUGGCAGAAUGUAGACCCAUCUUCAUCCUGCAGGUAGAAUCAGGAAAGACUGUGGACUCAAACAGUGGAGAACCGUUGCCAAUCAAGGUAGAGUAGCUUUCUCUGCCUGGUGUCCUCAAGAGGUAUGUGGUUACAACUCCCAUUCCAUUGGCUGUGCUGGCCGGGGAUGGGUGAGGGAGGUGCUGAGCUACUAAAUGGGCUGGAGGUCU